Lolium perenne is the source of this 1784-nucleotide long non-coding RNA. RefSeq lists it as uncharacterized. The record is from RefSeq and is a predicted model, not a curated record. NCBI's taxonomy places the organism in Eukaryota, Viridiplantae, Streptophyta, Magnoliopsida, Poales, Poaceae.
CCCGCCGCAGGAUGCCCACGAAACUCAAGUUCGCGCUGAAAUAUUUCAGUCUCCGCGCCAAUUCCAGAGGAUUCGCGCGAUGUCUUCUUUUUUUCCUGUCUGUGCUGGCCCACAGGAAAAGAAAUAGAGCAGAUAAGGCACCCUCGCUGGGAAAAUUCCCCACUCCCUCGUCUUCUCCAAUCUUCUGCACAUACCGCCGCCGCCCUCAUCCUUCCUUCCGCCGUGGCUGGCCGCCGGCCCGCCGCCCUCCUGUGCCGCCUCCUUGUUCCACCGCCUUCCUCCUUAGAUCUCCACCGCCACCGGCUAUCUCCACCGACCUCCACCAUCACCGGCCUGCGGAUUCAUCCACGUCGGCGCCCAAUUUCAAUCUCAGACCUCCACCGCCGCCUCCCCUACCUCUGUCUGCUGGUGCAGCCACCUCCCUUCUCCUCCGACCUACACCGCCAUCGCCUGCCCCUACCUCAGUUCGCAAGCGCCGCCCACAUCACUUCCCUGAACUCCACCGCCGCCACUUGGCAGCACAACUUCUAUGUGCGAGCGCCUCCCCCUCCCCUGUUCCCUUCUCCGACCGCCACCUCAGUUCGCCACAUCUCGUGCUACCUCUUCAACUUCAACCCCGAUCUGUCAGCUGCCUCUCCUUCCGUCGACCUUGAGAGCAGCGACGGCCUCCUCUUCAUUUCUAGGCCACUAGCUGAGUUUUAGGUGCUACCAAUCAGAGUAUUGUGAAGUUUGUUUAAGUGUACUUCUACAAAUCAGAUUUAGUUAUGAACUUUGUUUAGUGUACUACUUAAUUUGCUAUUUCAUUUAUCUGAACUGAGAGUAUUCUGAAGUUAGUUUAAUUACGAACUGUGUGCAAGUGUGUAAUGCUUAGUUUGCUAUUUAACUGAUCUGAACAUAGAUUAGUGUGUAAUAGUUCUGUACAUUUGAAGGAUAUUGGAUAUGCUAAAUAUUAAUUAUUUUUUCCAUUCUUGAUGUGCUGCAUGUGGUAGGAUCUAACUCGAAUCUGCCGUGCUGUCCCAAGCUAUUGUGGAACCUGCAGCCCAUUGAUACAAUUUCUGCAUCUUGCCUUCCUUGACAAAUAAUUUUGAUGCUGCUAUUUUGCAUCUUCAGAAAUUUUCGUGCAGAAAGGAAGGAAUUAUACUCCUUGAUUGCAUUCAAGCGCAAGGCAGAACGGUAAGCAACUCCCAAAAGACCAACUGUGAUGGCACUGAUGGUACACAGUUGGGAGUCAUUCUCAAGCGAGAAUACCUGGGUCUGGUUGAGGCCACAUUAGAUUGGGAAGAUCAUUAUCUUAUACAUGAAAGUGUUACAAGUGUUGACUGGGUGAAACAAGAAUUUUAAGCACGGGAACACAGAUUCAUCACAUGAUAGCUUGGAGGAUGCUACUAUGGAUGACCUUGUUGGCCAUGGCAACAAUGGAGGUAGAAAUUGCAAGAACAUUGGUGGUGGUGAAAGGAACAACUUUUGCUACAAUCGUGAUGGUGAUAAUAACUGUGCUUCUAGAGGAGUAUCACAGAAGUGUAUUUGCACUUCAAACAAUUAACACUCUUAUGGUAUUUUAGAUCUUUUUGGUAGAUAAUGCUCCUGAUCGUGAACCUGUAUGAAUUAGAAGUUCAUGUAUUUUGUUGUUACAUUGCAUUACCAUGUGCAAUGUGUGGAUACAAACUAGAGUGGGGGUGCCAUGUAUCUGUGCCAUUGUUAUUACUUGCUUUUGGGCAAGUCUGUACAUGUCAAGCAACAACUUUUACUGUAUUGUUAUACUUAUAGACGCUAUGUACUGGAUA